GUGGGGGAUAUUGCACAAUGGGGGAAACCCUGAUGCAGCGAUGCCGCGUGGAGGAAGAAGGUUUUCGGAUUGUAAACUCCUGUCGUAAGGGAAGAGGAAGGACUGUACCUUACAAGAAAGCUCCGGCUAACUACGUGCCAGCAGCCGCGGUAAUACGUAGGGAGCGAGCGUUGUCCGGAAUGACUGGGUGUAAAGGGAGCGUAGGCGGGAUGGCAAGUCAGAUGUGAAACCUGAGGGCUCAACCUUCAGACUGCAUUUGAAACUGCUGUUCUUGAGUGAAGUAGAGGUAAGCGGAAUUCCUGGUGUAGCGGUGAAAUGCGUAGAGAUCAGGAGGAACAUCGGUGGCGAAGGCGGCUUACUGGGCUUUUACUGACGCUGAGGCUCGAAAGCGUGGGGAGCAAACAGGAUUAGAAACCCUAGUAGUCC
Molecule: ribosomal RNA, 426 nt
Filed under: uncultured bacterium
Lineage: Bacteria
Description: bacterial SSU rRNA
Rfam family: Bacterial small subunit ribosomal RNA
Source: RNAcentral